RNAcentral lists this ribosomal RNA (425 nucleotides) under uncultured bacterium. Its description in RNAcentral is "bacterial SSU rRNA". It matches the Rfam family "Bacterial small subunit ribosomal RNA", at positions 354 to 776 of the family's 1533-position model. The record is from RNAcentral.
GUGAGGAAUAUUGGUCAAUGGGCGGUAGCCUGAACCAGCCAAGUAGCGUGAAGGAUGAAGGUUCUAUGGAUUGUAAACUUCUUUUAUAAAGGAAUAAAGUGAGGCACGUGUGCCUUUUUGUAUGUACUUUAUGAAUAAGGAUCGGCUAACUCCGUGCCAGCAGCCGCGGUAAUACGGAGGAUCCGAGCGUUAUCCGGAUUUAUUGGGUUUAAAGGGAGCGUAGAUGGAUGUUUAAGUCAGUUGUGAAAGUUUGCGGCUCAACCGUAAAAUUGCAGUUGAUACUGGAUAUCUUGAGUGCAGUUGAGGCAGGCGGAAUUCGUGGUGUAGCGGUGAAAUGCUUAGAUAUCACGAAGAACUCCGAUUGCGAAGGCAGCCUGCUAAGCUGCAACUGACAUUGAGGCUCGAAAGUGUGGGUAUCAAACAGG